GGGGAUGUAGCUCAGAUGGU
Molecule: non-coding RNA, 20 nt
Filed under: Arabidopsis thaliana (thale cress)
Lineage: Eukaryota; Viridiplantae; Streptophyta; Magnoliopsida; Brassicales; Brassicaceae
Also listed under: 2 other names
Source: RNAcentral